UAGAUCUGUGCAGAUUCCCUCACUCUCUCAAAAAAAAAAAAAAACCGUGCAGAUUCUGUCUCGGUCGCUCCUCUUCGCGUUCCAGGAAUCCGCCGCUUCUCGGGAAGGCGGGCGCGGCGGCGCUUCCAUGGCUCGGCCAGCGCCAGAUCUAACGGCGUCUUCCUAGGGAAGAGCAAGAGCACCGGCAGAUGCCUCGUGGUCGGCUAUAUCGGCCGUCUGCGGCGGCCUCGGGGCUCACCAGAUCUGGCGGUGGGCGGCGACAUCGAGCUGAACGACCUCCAUCGGCGCCAAGCAGACCCUGCCGUAUCGUCGGCGUCGAGCAGCUUCGCCAACGACCUCCACUUCUGCGACCUCGGCGGCGGCUGCUCGUUCAUCCCCUGCGUCAUUGUUGGAUCCGUGGCCAGCAGCAGCGGCGCCCGUCUGCUGUUCAAGAACUUCAGGCACAGGGAAAUAAACAAAUGGCAGCAGGAGUAUGUGUACAACAGUACAUGCAUUCAAGUGUACAGGCACAGCAGAAGGAAACUCUACAACAUCUACAGCACCUCCUCCACCUUCAUCCCCAGCAAUGUUGACUCCAGCCUCGUCAGCUAUGGCUUCGCCUCCUCGAAGUUCGUCACCGUCUUCAGGAGGAGGAGCGUUGAGGUCAAAGAGAUGAAUCGCCGCCAUGGAGCUUGA
This 675-nucleotide long non-coding RNA is filed under the name Oryza sativa Indica Group (long-grained rice). Its description in RNAcentral is "lncRNA OsPr106_04g0019190". Lineage: Eukaryota; Viridiplantae; Streptophyta; Magnoliopsida; Poales; Poaceae. The record is from RNAcentral.